This 478-nucleotide ribosomal RNA is filed under the name uncultured bacterium. RNAcentral describes it as "bacterial SSU rRNA". It matches the Rfam family "Bacterial small subunit ribosomal RNA", at positions 29 to 524 of the family's 1533-position model. The record is from RNAcentral.
AGCGAACGCUGGCGGCAGGCUUAACACAUGCAAGUCGAACGGGCGUAGCAAUACGUCAGUGGCAGACGGGUGAGUAACGCGUGGGAACGUACCUUUUGGUUCGGAACAACACAGGGAAACUUGUGCUAAUACCGGAUAAGCCCUUACGGGGAAAGAUUUAUCGCCGAAAGAUCGGCCCGCGUCUGAUUAGCUAGUUGGUGGGGUAAAGGCCCACCAAGGCGACGAUCAGUAGCUGGUCUGAGAGGAUGAUCAGCCACAUUGGGACUGAGACACGGCCCAAACUCCUACGGGAGGCAGCAGUGGGGAAUAUUGGACAAUGGGGGCAACCCUGAUCCAGCCAUGCCGCGUGUGUGAAGAAGGCCCUAGGGGUUGUAAAGCACUUUCAGUGGGGAGAAAGGUUAUUCACCUAAUACGUGAGUAGAUUGAUGUUACCCACAGAAGAAGCACCGGCUAACUCCGUGCCAGCAGCCGCGGUAAU